GGGGAAUAGUUAAGUGGUAUAACAGUGGUCUCCAAAACCAUUAUUGAGAGUUCGAUUCUUUCUUCCCC
This 68-nucleotide transfer RNA is filed under the name human gut metagenome. It matches the Rfam family "tRNA". From Rfam's summary of the family: Transfer RNA (tRNA) molecules are approximately 80 nucleotides in length. Their secondary structure includes four short double-helical elements and three loops (D, anti-codon, and T loops). The record is from RNAcentral. RNAcentral also lists the same sequence under 1 other name.